Molecule: long non-coding RNA, 237 nt
Filed under: Lathyrus oleraceus (garden pea)
Lineage: Eukaryota; Viridiplantae; Streptophyta; Magnoliopsida; Fabales; Fabaceae
Description: Pisum sativum (pea) long non-coding RNA (PSAT_LNC005202)
Source: RNAcentral
UCAUUCAAAUAGGUUAGGAAAAUAUUUUUGCAUUUUUUGAAUAUCAAAAACUAUUUAAAAUGAAUUAAAAAUAACCAGAAAAGAGAAAAUUCACAAAAAAUAUCAAAUGAUAAAAUAAAAAAUAUUAAAAAUCAGAAAUAGAAACUAGAAUUUAUUUGGGAAAUAACGCAAUUGGUCCCAUAAUUUUUGGAUUAAAAAUGAAAGAGAUAUGAUUUUUUGAAAUAAAAGGAAUUAAAG